AGAUCAGCAAGUGCCCUUCUGUGAGGUGGAAGGUGCUGGUCUGCUGGCGAGGGCGCUUCCCUUUUUUCAUCUCCAACAAAUGGAAAAGCCCAGCCCAAGAUGUCGUCAUUCCAGCUCUGUAAUUUCGGGCUUGCUUAAAAGGCUUUGCCCUUCCUCCAUUUGCCUGUUUUUCCGCUUCGUGCCCACCAUUUCGGAACUUUAGUUGGCCACGCUUAAUCAGACCCUAACGUGUUUCGUUUAUCUCGAGGAAUUUGCCUGUUUUUAAAGUAAUAUAAGCAAAAGUGUGAGUCUCUUGUACGACUCGAGCCUCUGAACAUCUUGGAUUUCCGCGCAACUUUUAUCAAAAAGUCCCUGACCACUCAACCCAGUACAGUACCAACACAAACUCUAAAAAGAGUCACACAGCCAUACAUCAAGUAUAUCUCAGAAACCAAGACUAGCAACCCUAGCCAGAAGAAAUUGUUUCCUGAUUGCUUAUUUGUACCUUAUGACUAUCAUUAAGUGUUGUACCUUACGAUUCUUGAUGAACAUUUCUUUUAUGUCCAUAUGCACCAAGACAAAUUCCUUGUGUGUCCAAUCACACUUGGCCAAUUUUUAAAAAAAACUAAAUUCUAUUCUAAGAAAAAAUGAGUCAUCUACAACAUUCAGCGUAAGACUUGUAAUGUGGGACAAACAGGUAGAAGGCUGGCAGAACACAUCCAUGAACACCCGCAGUAAGAAGAUGAAAAUUAUUUAAUUUUACAACAUAGACAGAUUUAACCAUAGUUUCAAUUGGGAAAAAGUGACAAUCCUAGACCAGGCCAAGUCCAAAAAUGCCAGGGAAUUUCUAGAAACCUGACACUUGACAAAUUAGCCAUCAAUAGACACAUAGACAUUAACAACAUCUAUAGACUAUGCAAAAGAGACAAUCAACCAGCCAAAAAGGGAACAAGAAAAGAAAGACUCAUCCAUUUCUCCACCAGCAAUCAGCACCCAGAUCAACAUAGAUUAAUUCCAAGGUUAACAUUAAACCAAGAAUCAAGUAAACAAUAUCCCAAUCAAGAAACUUCCAAAGAGCUAACAGUAAACAGUCCAACCAAAGAAUCUCUAAGACUGCUUCCAGCACCACUGACAGGGCAAGCUAUCAAAAUAUAAACUUACAGCAAACCACAAUCCUUACUAACACUGAUAAUGUUGCUAGUUUGGGUAAUGAAAUGUCUGCAAGAAAACAAGCAAGCUCAGAGAGCAGCAAGGAAUCCCCACCCCAUCCUGGAUUUCAGGAAAAAGAGAUUGAAAACAACAGUCAGUCUGAACAAACCAAAUGGUAGCAAGUAUUAACCACAAAAAGCAGCAAUUAGCAAUACCCAUAGGACUUUCAUGCAUUUGACAGUGAUUCCAAUGGGACUUUCAAUACCUGCAAGAAGCAAAACAUAGGUAGUCCUCAACUUACGACCACAACUGAGCCCAAAAUGUCUGUCGCUAAGUGAAACAGAGAAGCUAGAUGCCAGUCAACCAUACAGAGAGGGGCGUGCAUAAGAGCAUCAGCGUGCCUACCGUUCCUGUCUUUA
Molecule: long non-coding RNA, 1547 nt
Organism: Ahaetulla prasina
Lineage: Eukaryota; Metazoa; Chordata; Lepidosauria; Squamata; Colubridae
Exons: 3
Source: RefSeq, a predicted model, not a curated record